This 616-nucleotide ribosomal RNA is filed under the name Salmonella enterica subsp. enterica. RNAcentral describes it as "partial 23S ribosomal RNA". It matches the Rfam family "Bacterial large subunit ribosomal RNA", at positions 711 to 1240 of the family's 2925-position model. Lineage: Bacteria; Pseudomonadati; Pseudomonadota; Gammaproteobacteria; Enterobacterales; Enterobacteriaceae. The record is from RNAcentral.
AGACCCGAAACCCGGUGAUCUAGCCAUGGGCAGGUUGAAGGUUGGGUAACACUAACUGGAGGACCGAACCGACUAAUGUUGAAAAAUUAGCGGAUGACCUGUGGCUGGGGGUGAAAGGCCAAUCAAACCGGGAGAUAGCUGGUUCUCCCCGAAAGCUAUUUAGGUAGCGCCUCGUGAACUCAUCUCCGGGGGUAGAGCACUGUUUCGGCUAGGGGGCCAUCCCGGCUUACCAACCCGAUGCAAACUGCGAAUACCGGAGAAUGUUAUCACGGGAGACACACGGCGGGUGCUAACGUCCGUCGUGAAGAGGGAAACAACCCAGACCGCCAGCUAAGGUCCCAAAGUCAUGGUUAAGUGGGAAACGAUGUGGGAAGGCCCAGACAGCCAGGAUGUUGGCUUAGAAGCAGCCAUCAUUUAAAGAAAGCGUAAUAGCUCACUGGUCGAGUCGGCCUGCGCGGAAGAUGUAACGGGGCUAAACCAUGCACCGAAGCUGCGGCAGCGAACGUAUCACCCAAGACAACUUUGCGGAGUUGACGAUUGACGGAGCGAAGCGACGUCAAAGCGUUCAUUAAAGUCGAGUUGGCUUAGGGAUACGUUCGUUGGGUAGGGGAGCGUU